GACGAACGCUGGCGGCGUGCUUAACACAUGCAAGUCGAACGAUGAAGCGGUGCUUGCACCGUGGAUGAGUGGCGAACGGGUGAGUAAUGCGUGAGUGACCUGCCCCCUUCUUCGGGAUAAGCCUUGGAAACGGGGUCUAAUACCGGAUAUUCCCUUCCUUCUGCAUGGUUGGUUGGGGAAAGUUUUUUCGGUGGGGGAUGGGCUCGCGUCCUAUCAGCUUGUUGGUGGGGUGAUGGCCUACCAAGGCGUCGACGGGUAGCCGGCCUGAGAGGGUGACCGGCCACACUGGGACUGAGAUACGGCCCAGACUCCUACGGGAGGCAGCAGUGGGGGAUAGUUGCACAAUGGGCGCAAGCCUGAUGCAGCGACGCCGCGUGAGGGAUGACGGCUUUCGGGUUGUAAACCUCUUUUACUAUUGAACAAGGCGCCAUAUUGGUGGUGUUGAGGGUAGGUGGUGAAUAAGCGCCGGCUAACUAACGUG
This 481-nucleotide ribosomal RNA is filed under the name uncultured bacterium. RNAcentral describes it as "bacterial SSU rRNA". It matches the Rfam family "Bacterial small subunit ribosomal RNA", at positions 28 to 507 of the family's 1533-position model. The record is from RNAcentral.